GUGGGGAAUAUUGCACAAUGGGGGAAACCCUGAUGCAGCGACGCCGCGUGAAGGAAGAAGUAUCUCGGUAUGUAAACUUCUAUCAGCAGGGAAGAUAAUGACGGUACCUGACUAAGAAGACCCGGCUAACUACGUGCCAGCAGCCGCGGUAAUACGUAGGGGGCAAGCGUUAUCCGGAUUUACUGGGUGUAAAGGGAGCGUAGACGGCAUGGCAAGUCUGAUGUGAAAGGCAGGGGCUCAACUCCUGGACUGCAUUGGAAACUGCCGGGCUUGAGUGCCGGAGGGGUAAGCGGAAUUCCUAGUGUAGCGGUGAAAUGCGUAGAUAUUAGGAGGAACACCAGUGGCGAAGGCGGCUUACUGGACGGUAACUGACGUUGAGGCUCGAAAGCGUGGGGAGCAAACAGG
RNAcentral lists this ribosomal RNA (405 nucleotides) under uncultured bacterium. Its description in RNAcentral is "bacterial SSU rRNA". It matches the Rfam family "Bacterial small subunit ribosomal RNA", at positions 354 to 776 of the family's 1533-position model. The record is from RNAcentral.